UGGAGGAAAGUAGGGGAUCGAAAGACCUUGCGCUUAAGGAGCGGCCGAUGUCUGAUUAGCUAGUUGGUAGGGUAAAGGCCUACCAAGGCGACGAUCAGUAGUUGGUCUGAGAGGACGACCAACCACACUGGGACUGAGACACGGCCCAGACUCCUACGGGAGGCAGCAGUGGGGAAUUUUGGACAAUGGGCGCAAGCCUGAUCCAGCCAUGCCGCGUGAGUGAAGAAGGCCUUCGGGUUGUAAAGCUCUUUCAGUUGGGAAGAAACGAUUGCAACUAAUAAUUGUAAUUAAUGACGGUACCGACAGAAGAAGCACCGGCUAACUACGUGCCAGCAGCCGCGGUAAUACGUAGGGUGCGAGCGUUAAUCGGAAUUACUGGGCGUAAAGGGUGCGCAGGCGGUUUUGUAAGUCAGAUGUGAAAUCCCCGGGCUUAACCUGGGAAUGGCGUUUGAA
This 453-nucleotide ribosomal RNA is filed under the name uncultured bacterium. Its description in RNAcentral is "bacterial SSU rRNA". It matches the Rfam family "Bacterial small subunit ribosomal RNA", at positions 197 to 631 of the family's 1533-position model. The record is from RNAcentral.